CUAAUGUUGAAAAAUUAGGGGAUGAGCUGUGGAUAGGGGUGAAAGGCUAAACAAAUCUGGAAAUAGCUGGUUCUCUCCGAAAACUAUUUAGGUAGUGCCUCAAGUAUUACUGCGGGGGGUAGAGCACUGUUAUAGCUAGGGGGUCAUGGCGACUUACCAAACUAUGGCAAACUCCGAAUACCCGCAAGUACAGCUUGGGAGACAGAGCACCGGGUGCUAACGUCCGGACUCAAGAGGGAAACAACCCAGACCGCCAGCUAAGGUCCCAAAG
RNAcentral lists this ribosomal RNA (271 nucleotides) under Bacillus thuringiensis. RNAcentral describes it as "partial 23S ribosomal RNA". It matches the Rfam family "Bacterial large subunit ribosomal RNA", at positions 783 to 1052 of the family's 2925-position model. Lineage: Bacteria; Bacillati; Bacillota; Bacilli; Caryophanales; Bacillaceae. The record is from RNAcentral.